RNAcentral lists this ribosomal RNA (440 nucleotides) under uncultured bacterium. RNAcentral describes it as "bacterial SSU rRNA". It matches the Rfam family "Bacterial small subunit ribosomal RNA", at positions 355 to 787 of the family's 1533-position model. The record is from RNAcentral.
UGGGGAAUAUUGGACAAUGGGGGCAACCCUGAUCCAGCCAUGCCGCGUGUGUGAAGAAGGCCUUCGGGUUGUAAAGCACUUUAAGCAGGGAGGAAGGCUUCAAGGCUAAUAUCCUUGAGGAUUGACGUUACCUGCAGAAUAAGCACCGGCUAACUCCGUGCCAGCAGCCGCGGUAAUACGGAGGGUGCGAGCGUUAAUCGGAAUUACUGGGCGUAAAGCGCACGUAGGCGGUCAUUUAAGUCGGACGUGAAAUCCCCGGGCUCAACCUGGGAACUGCGUUCGAUACUGGAUGGCUAGAGUGCGGUAGAGGGGGGUGGAAUUCCAGGUGUAGCGGUGAAAUGCGCAGAUAUCAGGAGGAACACCGGUGGCGAAGGCGGCUUGCUGGGCCUGUCCUGACGCUGAGGAGCGAAAGCGUGGGGAGCGGACAGGAUUAGAUACCC